Molecule: long non-coding RNA, 352 nt
Filed under: Setaria viridis
Lineage: Eukaryota; Viridiplantae; Streptophyta; Magnoliopsida; Poales; Poaceae
Description: long non-coding RNA (SVIR_LNC005597)
Source: RNAcentral
AUUUCUUAUGAGGCAUAACAGCUUAGCUAGGAUUUAAUCCUUGAACCCUAGAAUUUGGUGUAGUUGAAGACUGAGAAAUGAAGGAGUUUUGGGAAAAAUUGUCAAGAGAAGAAAAUCGGUAGAGGAAGAACAUAUGCAACAUUGUCAUUCAGAUAUUCUACUUUUAGAUGAGUCACCGAUAUUGGAAAGAAUGAAGGAAAUGAAGAUAACUGAUCCAGAAAUAAACUGGCUCUACUGUGCUUUGGUGGCAAAGGAGAAUAUUGAUCCGACAUAUAUCAUGGUGAAUAGAUGGCUAGCUGAAGCAACAUCCAGUACUGGAUUGGUUCUAGAAUGUACCUCACAUUGAUAGAAU